This 71-nucleotide transfer RNA is filed under the name bovine gut metagenome. It matches the Rfam family "tRNA". Rfam says of the family: Transfer RNA (tRNA) molecules are approximately 80 nucleotides in length. Their secondary structure includes four short double-helical elements and three loops (D, anti-codon, and T loops). The record is from RNAcentral.
GCGGGAUAGCUCAGUCGGUAGAGCGAGGGACUCAUAAGCCUUAGGUCAUCGGUUCAAGCCCGAUUCCCGCC